Spinacia oleracea (spinach) is the source of this 1449-nucleotide long non-coding RNA. RefSeq lists it as uncharacterized. Lineage: Eukaryota; Viridiplantae; Streptophyta; Magnoliopsida; Caryophyllales; Amaranthaceae. The transcript is spliced from 2 exons. The record is from RefSeq and is a predicted model, not a curated record.
ACCCAAUCACCCCCCUCCCUCCCUAUUUCCCAACUGUAAAUCACCACCACAGCCACGAGUCACCGCACCAAACCACAACCACCACACGAAACCGCAGCACACCACCACCACCACCGCAAACCGCACUACACCACCACCACUCUCACCGCACACACUGCACUUAAACCCACGAGGACCGCGCCGCUGCUCUGCUCGAGUUCUUGGUGUUGCGUCCCAAAUCAAUUCACCACCCACCACGUCGGUUUCUUGCUGCCUCCCGGAGUUGCCGCCAAAGAGAGGUACAAUGGGCCCGCCGUGCAAUCCUCCGCCUUCUUCGCGGCCGCGACUGGCAGUGGUGGUUCGUUCAAGGCAGUGGUGGAGGUGCGUUGGUGAAGGAGCGUGAGUGAGUGAUUGAGUGAAGAUGAUGGUGGUACGGUGGUGAAGGACCGUGAGAGGGUGAAGAUGAUGGUGGUGUUGACGAAGAUGAUGGUGGUGUUGACGGGAAGGGUGGCGGUUGUGGGGAUGGUGGUGACAGGGAGGGUGGUAGAGAUGUUUGGGGGCUGUCGGCUACUCAACAGUGGUGGUGGAGAGGGUGGGGGCUGUCGGAAUAUAGUUAGGGGCACAAUUGUCCUUUCAUGUAAAAUACGCGGGCGUUUUUAACGAACGAGGACGUCGAAUAGCGAUACACUUUAUUUAAGGGAUACACUUGCCUUUUCCGGCCGUAUUUAUUUAAGAGAUACACUUGCCAUUUUUAGUAACUUAUCAACCCCACCAUCUAAUUAAAUAAUACAUCUAAUGUACUCUGUGACCCACUAUCCUAAUAAACAAAUAAUUUCAUAAACUCACCCCACCUUCCACCCCCUAAAAUGGCAUGGUCCCCACUUAUUUACUUAUUAAAAUAUCUACCUAACCCCACUUGCUUUAUUAUUUUAUUUAAUUCAAUUAUUUUUCUUAAUACCCGUGUCCGCCCAAGUGUAUCUCUUAAAUAAAUACGGAGGUAGUAUAUCAUUGUAGAGAUGGUUAGAACCUUCAUUGUGAUUAAGAGGUCAUGGGUUCGAAUAUUAAUACCAACAUUUUUUGUGAUAAAAAUUGAGUAAUGCAUGUGUGCGCGCCCAUGACAUAACACAUCUUCAUUUCACUUGCCAAAUCACAGUGACACAUGGCAACGUAACAUUCAUUGCAUUGGAGAUUUAAUAAUAGUAUAGAUUCCACUCUCCUGCAAACCGCUCUUCAACCGUCUUUCACUAGGAGUAUAUAUACAUUCAGAACCGACAUGCAGAAGGACAUAUCCACACACAAACAAAGCAUUUCUUAUUUUCGGAGUUUUAGCCCUAGCGCUUAGUGUAGUUCUACGCUUAGAGUCUAUCAGUGGCGUAGCAAUAGUUCGUAGCGUUUCCCUCAUGUAUUGAAGCACUUCCGGCAGUUUAUGUUGCAAAAGUGAUUAAUAAAUUAAUAAUUCUUCGUGUUCAA